RNA transcript from Maniola jurtina (meadow brown), 3908 nucleotides. It is a transcript of the gene named extensin-like, with no coding region annotated. The record is from RefSeq and is a predicted model, not a curated record. The transcript has 6 exons. NCBI's taxonomy places the organism in Eukaryota, Metazoa, Arthropoda, Insecta, Lepidoptera, Nymphalidae.
UCCCGCGGCUCCCGUUCAAUCGCUGACUGCCCGGGCGCCCGGCAGCGCAUCCGAACGAACGACACCUCACCGCGAUCGUGUUUACGAACGUUACCCACCAAAUUCAAACUUACCUACAAAACACAACGUGCAGUGCUUUGGAUUUGGAUUCACCCACCUACCCGUUUUCCUUAGUUGGAGUCACUGAGGCUGCAUACAAUACGAUCAUCAUACAGACAUGGCCGCGAACGGAUACGGACCCGCGCCGCCUGGACACAUCGGCCGGAUCCCGAACUACGGGAAAACACAAGUUAAUCCGAUGGGAGGAGUUGAGCCACCAGCAUGUAUACAGAACGCUAUGAUGACAAAGGAUAAGAAACCAUUCACAUAUACCCCAGGUGGUCUGGAUCUAUCCCAAAUUAAAACACCGAGUAUGGCAAGAAGGAUGGCACGACAACGCUCUCAGGAAGAACACGAACAGGCAUAUAGCCAGCAACAACCCAAUAAUAACUAUCAAUCAUAUGGACCAGGCGGUCCAGCCCCACCACCUCCACCACCAAUGAAAAUACCGGCGCCACCUCCUCCCCCACCUCUUGUGAUACAGGCACCUGAUAACAAAUCCCCAAAAACUGUCCCAUUAGGGGAGAGACCAGAAAUCGUAAUCCCUGAAAAUCCAAUUGGUAUGCUUAGGAAAACAAACAGCCCAUACCAUUGGGAAACUGAACAGGCACAAAUGCAGCGUAUGGGCCCUGUUCCCAAAUUCACCGAAAGAGCACCAGUACCAUUAACCGUCAAAAUGCCAGCACAAAAUGCUCCCCAGAACUAUUCUCCACAAAACAAUGUUCAACGACAGAAUUAUCCUUAUGGAAAUCAGAAUCAAUCUCCCGACAGUCCAAUCCACAGGCCUGAGGCACAAUAUGCUCAUCAAAAAAAUGCGUCACCAAACACAAAUGGACCACCGCAAACUCGAGAAUUGCUAGUAAGACAAGAUUCACAAUUUAAUAAAAGUCCUCAACCUUUCGGUAACCAAACGCCUGUCAGCACUGGUUCACCUUAUUCGCCUAGUCCUAAUAACCAUUGGAAGCAACCCGACAAAAGAGAUUCUCCUGUGUAUAGUAACAAUAGUCCACAGACACCGCAAACAAAUCGUGGACCAUUUUCACCGGCUCUCAAACAAAAUGUUCCAAGUUACAACCAACCAGCACCAGCAACACCUAACAAUACAGGGUUCCAUACCCUACCUAGAGCCGGUCAAAGAAGUCAAGAAAACUAUCAAAAUAGUGCCCAAAAUAAUUACAACAACAGUACACCUAACAAUGUUAAAGAAACCCAGCACAGUCCAAACACUGAGGCACCUACAGCACCAUGGCGAACUAGUACCCUAAACAGACAUCCGCGCGAAAACCAACAGACGGCUUAUAAUAAUACGAACGUGAAUCAACAACAGCCGCAGAGACCUGCGUGGAAAGCACAAGAUGCAAACAAUAACCAGACUGAAAGCAACUAUACUCCACCUUGGAAACAAGAGAGCAGAAAUAUGCCUAACCAAGCUAGCAACCAACAACAAUACACUCCACCAUGGGUUUCCCAGGAAACUAACAAUAACAGGGUGGCAGAAACCACAUCACUGCGGGGGCAAGAAAAUACAGGAAGAUCAGUGGCUCCUACAACGCCUCCAGAAACCAGAUAUCAGUCAUCUAUAACGAUGCCAGUAUCGCCAAAGAAACAAACAAGUCAACCCAACUAUAGUAACGCCCAGCCACAGAAAGAAGCAGUCUACGUUAACCAAGAACCUGUGUAUUAUUGUCCUGAUAGUCCGAAGUCGAUACCACCGUGGGUCAAAACACAAAAGGAAAAGACAAAAACGCCGCCUCCAGUCUGGUGCCAGAGACCGUUGGAAGGUAAAGAAAGUGCACAAAGAGAGUUAUACACUCCACCAAGAGAGACAAAUCAAGAGCCAGAGUGGGUAAGGAAAAGUAAUGAAAUGCAACGAGGUGCACGUGAAUUUGUAAGUCCGCCUAAACACCAGCAACAGGCGCAACCAAACUGGUCGACGCUUCCUUCAGAAAACAGAAAAAGUCUUCCGCGAGACGGUAAUCAAGGAAGAAUCAUUCCAAUUCAAAUGGAAGUUUCAAGCACAGAUACAAGAAAUUCGGGUAUGCAAGGAGGAAACCAACCACAUUUGAGGAUUGUCAUUGAUAUGAAGCAAAAUCCCGAUUCACAGAAUGGUACCCAGGCGCCUUAUUCUCAACCAACUCAGCGCAUAAUGAGAGUUUUGUCUCCUCAACUUGUUAGAACGGACGACAACCAAAAUCAGCCUGAUUUGCCAACGUUGAACACCCGAUACCAGAGUAGUCAGGACAGUCAACCAAAGACGCGAAUAAUUCCAAUACAAAUCGAAGGGACUGGCAGUGGUGGGGCAAACAAAAGCUUCGGUGGGCGGUAUUAAGGGAGCUGUUUGCACUGUUCAAAGUAAACAUUUUUUAUAUUGCACCGCUUCUUCGUGAUUCAGUCUGAGUGAUAUAUCACAAAAUUACGCAGGAAGGUCCGCCACGGCAGUCAAAGGCUUUCAAAGUACUGCAGGUUAUCACCGGGACCCAGGAGACGCAGUAAUCUGAAAUUAAGAAAACAAUGAUAAUAAAAAAUAUUAUUAUUUAUCAUUUUUCUCGUAUUCGCAAACACCACGAAGUGUUUGCUCGCAACAUAAAUUUUAUCACAAUUAUGAAAUAUAUCGUAUAAUAUACGAUAUAAUAUCAAAUUAAAUAUAAUAUUAUUAUGGUUUAAUAUUUGAUAUAUUUGAAGUGUAUAACUUAUUAGAAUAAUUUUUGAUUAUAAAAUAAGUAUGUAUUGUUAAAACCGGUUUACCUUUACCUAAAUGAAUCAACGUAACUAACUAUAUUAUAAUGAUCAAAUAACUAUUCAUUUCGUAAACACGAAAAGUGAAAAUAUUUUUAAAAAUCUAUGUUUUUAUAAUAAUUAUACUAUAGAUUUUUUCGCGGGAAAUUAACGAGCUAAAUGUAUAUUUACAAGGCAUAAAAUACUUUGUUUAACUUAUUGUUAUAAAUAAAAAUAUUAAUUAAUUCUCUUAUUUAUUAGAUAGUUAAUUAUUAAGAUUAUUUUAACGUGCUUAAAUUGUGAUCAUACUAAUAAAGCUCAUUUAAAAAGGAAUACGGCUAAUCACCAAAGAUUAAUUAAGAUUUAUUUUUAAUUAACUAAAUUACCUAUCGAUUUAUAUUUAGAUUAAGAAAAUAGUUUAUUUAGAUAAAUAAAAUUACAUGUAAAAUUAAAAGUUACCAUAUGAAUGUAAAUUUAUUCUUAUUUGACAAAAUAAUAAUAAAAUUUAAUUGCGUUAUUAAUUCCCUUUUAUUAUUAUGUAAGUAUAGCUUUUAUAAAUGAAUUAUCACUAACAAAAUUAAUCUUUUUUAUAUUUUGUAUUAUAUUACAAGUAUUCCUUAUUUUUAUCACAUACCUAUAUUUAUUAAUAUCUGCUAUAUAAUAUGUAUUUGUUUCAUAUUACUGAUCUGUAUUUUUAAAAUAUAAUAUAUCAUAAAUAUAUAAAAUUAUACCCAUUAUACUAACAAAUACCUAACAGAUUAACAAAAUUCCGAUCAACGGGUUCCUAUAAUAUUUUAAUAACUCAGUACCCGAUAAUAAUUGUCCUGGUUUGUGUUUGUGAUUAACCAAAACAAUGGAAAUCAUUACUGACGAUUUAUAACAUCACUGAUUGUUAUAAUAAUUAUGUAUAUUCCCCUUGAGAUCUUAUAAUAAAAUUCUGGGGGAAGUUUUUUUUUUACGUUACUCCUCGCAAACUUUUCAUUAACUUUUUUUAAUAAUUUCUAUCGUCAACUUAGUGUUAGAUAUUAUAUACUGACAUCAUACUAAUGGAUAUUAUAUUUUAUAAUUUAUAUUAAAAAAAAUCUUAUUUAUUU